RNAcentral lists this ribosomal RNA (906 nucleotides) under Triticum aestivum (bread wheat). Its description in RNAcentral is "partial small subunit ribosomal RNA". Lineage: Eukaryota; Viridiplantae; Streptophyta; Magnoliopsida; Poales; Poaceae. The record is from RNAcentral.
AUGUCUUCGUCUUCCUCCUCGUCGUCGGCGGCGGCCGCGUCCGUGCCGUUUCAGAGCCCGAGGAAGGUGGUCAAGAAGGUGCUGUCCUUGUCCCAGUCCGAGGGGCAGGGCGCCACCGUCCGCCGGAGCAUCGGCGGGCACGAGGUCCGGAACCUGGACCCGUUCCUCCUGCUCGACGAGUUCUCCGUCUCAAAGCCCGCCGGCUUCCCCGACCACCCGCACCGGGGCUUCGAGACCGUCACCUACAUGCUCGACGGGGUGUUCACCCACCAGGACUUCUCCGGACACACGGGCACCAUCAGGACCGGAGAUGUGCAGUGGAUGACGGCGGGGCGCGGCAUCGUGCACUCGGAGAUGCCUGCGGCCGACGGAGUGCAGAAGGGCCUGCAGCUCUGGAUCAACCUCGCCUCCAAGGACAAGAUGAUCGAGCCCCGGUACCAGGAGCUCGAGAGCAAGGACAUCAGCCAGGCCGAGAAGGAUGGCGUGGCGGUGCGGAUCAUCGCCGGGGAGGCCUUCGGGGUGCGGUCGCCAGUCUACACACAGACGCCGACCAUGUACAUGGACUUCACAAUGCAACCAGGUUCGCAGCUCCACCAGCCAAUCCCGGAGGGCUGGAACGCCUUCGUGUACAUCAUCGAGGGGGAGGGCGUGUUCGGCAAGGAGGGUGCAGCGCCGGCGAGCGCGCACCACUGCCUCGUGCUUGGCGCGGGGGACGGGCUCAGCGUGUGGAAUCGGUCUGGCGCACCGCUGCGGUUCGCGCUGGCGGCGGGGCAGCCGCUGAACGAGCCAGUGGUGCAGCAGGGUCCAUUCGUCAUGAACUCGCGUGCCCAGAUCCAGCAGGCCAUGGAGGACUAUUACUACGGCCGCAACGGCUUCGAGAAGGCCAGCCAGUGGAGCUCGGCCUGA